Non-coding RNA from Pantherophis guttatus, 311 nucleotides. The record is from RefSeq and is a predicted model, not a curated record. Lineage: Eukaryota; Metazoa; Chordata; Lepidosauria; Squamata; Colubridae.
UACUGCAGAAAAGGCUUGUCUUCUAGUUUGCCAGCUGACACUCUUCGGCUGAUGGAAUCUGCAGCAUACCCUAUCUGUUAGAUUCGAUGGGUAGAGACUUUCAUGUGAUCUAGAUGUGGAACAUCUAGACUUUCAUGUGACACUCUGGAUGUGGAACAUCAUGUUGUUUUUGCAGAAUUUUCUGGAUGAAGUUUCUAUUAAACCAAGUAGCAGUUUCUUUCAUGAAAACAGGACUUUUCAAUAUUGGAAAUCAGCUGGGAAAAAAGGGUUUCACAGAAUGGACUACAGAUGUGAGAGAAGAAUAUGACUGA